AUUGAACGCUGGCGGCAGGCCUAACACAUGCAAGUCGAGCGGAUGAAGGGAGCUUGCUCCUGGAUUCAGCGGCGUACGGGUGAGUAAUGCCUAGGAGUCUGCCUGGUAGUGGGGGAUAACGUCCGGAAACGGGCGCUAAUACCGCAUACGUCCUGAGUGAGAAAGUGGGGGAUCUUCGGACCUCACGCUAUCAGAUGAGCCUAGGUCGGAUUAGCUAGGUGGUGGGGUAAAGGCCUACCAAGGCGACGAUCCGUAACUGGUCUGAGAGGAUGAUCAGUCACACUGGAACUGAGACACGGUCCAGACUCCUACGGGAGGCAGCAGUGGGGAAUAUUGGACAAUGCGCGAAAGCCUGAUCCAGCCAUGCCGCGUGUGUGAAGAAGGUCUUCGGAUUGUAAAGCACUUUAAGUUGGGAGGAAGGGCAGUAAGUUAAUACCUUGCUGUUUUGACGUUACCAACAGAAUAAGCACCGGCUAACUUCGUG
This 484-nucleotide ribosomal RNA is filed under the name uncultured bacterium. Its description in RNAcentral is "partial 16S ribosomal RNA". It matches the Rfam family "Bacterial small subunit ribosomal RNA", at positions 30 to 507 of the family's 1533-position model. The record is from RNAcentral.